Molecule: long non-coding RNA, 1118 nt
Organism: Haliotis rufescens (red abalone)
Lineage: Eukaryota; Metazoa; Mollusca; Gastropoda; Lepetellida; Haliotidae
Exons: 3
Source: RefSeq, a predicted model, not a curated record
CAACCGCCAAUUACACCGCAUGUGCAGGAAUUGACACCCUCUGAUACACUCUAUAUCCAUGUAUCUUAUUACUGAAUCAUUUCAUUUCAUCAAUCUUCACAUAACCAGGAAGAUCCAAAGAUGCCAACUUAACAUGUUGGAAUUAUCAAUAUCUGUUUUGUAUGUUUAAAACUUGGUACAACAUCCUGCUUUUGACACGUUCGUCCACUUACAAGUCCCUGAAGUUUUCCAUGUGUACCAUCUGAUGACUCGGCAGCUCUGAGGUGUUGAGGGGUGUUUCAUGUCUCAUGGCUCAGUUUCUGCCUGAAAUACCCGCUAACACCUUCUAGUUGAACGAUGACUCGGUUGUAUUCACAAACAUUUUCUAGGGUAAUUGUAUUUGGUCAACGUCUUUAGGGGAUUGUUGUGAAAGAUUUUAAUACAGGAAGUAUGUAUCUUCCGAGAACGCAUUUGGUUAAAACGUCACCUCAACAAAAUAUUUCGGUUGACAUUCAUGAUACAUUGAGAAUAUUCCCAAUCAUGUGCGGUGUAAGGAAGGAUGUUGGCAGUAUCUACCACUGACGUCUAUGGAUGUUGAACAGAACUAAGUGAUAAGGCACCCUUGACGCAGCUGUACACAGCCCCGCCAACCACACCCGUCUACCACACCCGUCUACCACAUCCGUCUCCUUCAACUGUCACCGCUCUUAAUCUAUGGCAUUUCCCCCGAAUAUCAAUGGACUAGUGUGGACCAAGCUUCUGUCCUCCACGAUGUUUCUGAACUCUCAAGGAGUGAAGUGUCCCAACAGCCAUGCUGCUCCAAUAUCUGCGGUUGUCACCCUAAAGUCUACAACACGACAAUCUGUAUAGUCAUAGUUACAAAGGAUGCUGACAACAUCAGAUAUCAGUUGAUACAGUUAACUCAGUCUUCAAUUCAAAUCCCUUCUCCUAGAUCAGUUAUAAUUGUCUUUCAACGUCACCUGUUUUGGGGUACAACGUGAUUCUUACUUCCCUGUUCUAUUACCACUUACUCCAAAGCCGUCAUAUGAAAUUUAUUUUGGUCUCUAUCGGGGUGAUGGAUAUAUACAGGUGUAGUUGAGCCAUGCUGCCCUGGAUAUAUACAUCUGAAUACAAAUAAG